This 512-nucleotide ribosomal RNA is filed under the name uncultured bacterium. Its description in RNAcentral is "bacterial SSU rRNA". It matches the Rfam family "Bacterial small subunit ribosomal RNA", at positions 9 to 509 of the family's 1533-position model. The record is from RNAcentral.
GAGUUUGAUCUUGGCUCAGGACGAACGCUGGCGGCGCGCUUAACACAUGCAAGUCGAGCGAGAACCAGGCCUUCGGGCUUGGGGAAAGCGGCGAACGGGUGAGUAACACGUGGGUAACCCACCCUUGGUACCGGGAUAGCCCGGGGAAACCCGGAUUAAUACCGGAUGGCCCAACAGCUCUUCGGGGCGGUUGGAAAAGGUAGCUUCGGCCUCCGACCAAGGACGGGCCCGCGGCGGAUUAGCUUGUUGGUGAGGUAACGGCUCACCAAGGCGACGAUCCGUAGCUGGUCUGAGAGGACGAUCAGCCACACUGGGACUGAGACACGGCCCAGACUCCUACGGGAGGCAGCAGUGGGGAAUCUUGCGCAAUGGGCGAAAGCCUGACGCAGCGACGCCGCGUGGGGGAAGAAGGCUUCGGGUUGUAAACCCCUUUCAGGAAGGACGAAGCCACUCGGGUUAAUAGCCCAGAGGGUGACGGUACUUCCAGAAGAAGCCCCGGCUAACUACGUGCC